GGCUCAGACGGUAAAGCGUCUGCCUGAAAUGCAGGAGACCCGGGUUCAAUUCCUGG
RNAcentral lists this transfer RNA (56 nucleotides) under Ovis aries (sheep). It matches the Rfam family "tRNA", at positions 9 to 63 of the family's 71-position model. From Rfam's summary of the family: Transfer RNA (tRNA) molecules are approximately 80 nucleotides in length. Lineage: Eukaryota; Metazoa; Chordata; Mammalia; Artiodactyla; Bovidae. The record is from Rfam by way of RNAcentral.